AGGUCUCAGUGUCGAAACAAAUGCUUAUUAUGAGAUAUGCCCGUACAUUGUGUAUGGGCCAAAGUUCUCAAAAUUAACAACUGUGAGAUUAAAAUUUUAGAUAAAUUAAUUAUAUUUUUGAUCCUCAAAUUAUGAGAUGCCUGACACUUUAUUUCUAAAACUUUAAUUAGUUAUAAUUCUGGCUCAAACUAUAAGUCAUACAAUAUUUUAGUUCUCGAACUUUCUGAAUUAUUUCAAUCAAGUUCUGCAAUUUUAUUUUUUUUUAAUAGGAAUAAUUUCAUCAAUACCCCUCUGAAAAAUCAUAAUUUCAUGGAUAACCCCCUAAACUGAAAAAUAUCAUCAAUACCCCUCUAAAACCCAAAAAUAUUCACAGAUACCCUUUAGCUUAACUUUCAGUCAAAUGGUCGUCCAAUAUUUUGUAAAUACCAAUUUUACCCCUAGCAACAAUUUAAACAUUUAAUAUUUAAAAUUAAUUAUAUGAUCAAUUUUUAACAUUUGAAUCACAUAAUAAUUUAACAUUAUUUCUAAAAUAUUACAAUUAAAGAUCCAUA
Molecule: long non-coding RNA, 551 nt
Filed under: Ananas comosus (pineapple)
Lineage: Eukaryota; Viridiplantae; Streptophyta; Magnoliopsida; Poales; Bromeliaceae
Description: long non-coding RNA (ACOM_LNC019314)
Source: RNAcentral